Molecule: long non-coding RNA, 224 nt
Filed under: Homo sapiens (human)
Lineage: Eukaryota; Metazoa; Chordata; Mammalia; Primates; Hominidae
Description: non-protein coding lnc-PPARGC1A-2:1
Source: RNAcentral
CUCUGAUGUUUCUAACCUUUUAAAGAUUUCAGAGAAUUAAUGGGACACAUGAGAUUUUCACAGUCCUGGCCCUGCAGUCAUCCAAUUGGAGAAUGAGCCAAUCCUCUUUCGCAAGGGCAGUUAUCCCAGACAAGUUCAUGUUCCAAGAAGCCAGAUCAGUGUUUCCGGAGACCGUGGCAGAUACUUGGUGGCAUUGGGCACUCAACAAUGACUUUGUCAUUUUU